AGGCAGGCUUUCUGGAAGGAUCUGUGGAACCUGAGAUACCAGACUUUUGUGCCGCCUACGGAUGCUCCAAUCGCCGAUGUCUCAAAACGAGAACCCGUGGGAUCACCUUUCACCCGUUUCCCAAAACCAGAGAGAGGAGGAGGACGUGGGAGGUUGCCCUAAGAAGGGACGGUUUUGUUGCUUCUGACAGGACGCUGCUCUGCAGUGAGCACUUCAGGAGUGGAGGGCAUUAGCCAAAUGUUACCACGGUUUUACAGAACUGAUCUUUGCACCACACUUUUGGUUUCCUGCGCUGUUUUACCGAUCAGCAUCAAACAUUGUUAUUUACAGACGUACAGCUAGGUACUAAAGCAACAUAUCUUUAGAAAGCUAAGAUUUUUCUGAUUUCACUGAUGUAAACCAUUUCAAGAUCCGAUCACCACAGCCGGUACAAUCAACGUCUCAGUCAGACCGGAAAUAGAAAAAAUAACGUUCACAAAGUCGAUGCGACUCACCUAAGAAUCACCAUUAUCAUAUCAUAUCAGCGUUUUAGGCGAAUAUCACCAGCCUCUUUAGAGGUUAGUAAAUAUUAUAGAUUUGUAUUGAUUUCCUCCAUCUGUAUACCUCCACAGUAGUCUAGUUCUCUCUAGAGAGGGUGGGAAUUUUCAUUUAUAUUUUAUUUAUAUUUGUAAAUGGAAAUCUUACACCUUUUUUUUACUGCAAAGAAAUGUCACUUUUAUAAAAAGGAUAUUACUAAUAUAAUACAAUAAUUUGAAUUAUUACUUGUUUAAACUAAACAUGUAAUAAUUCAAAUUAUUUUAUUAUAUUAGUAAUAUUCCUAUUAUAAAAGUAUACAUAUGUCUCAUGUUGCCAUUCUGUAUGUUGAGUUUUAGUUGCCUGUAUAUUCACUUAACAUAAAAAUCUUGUGCAUGUGUGUAUUUAUGGCCCCAUCUGUCCUGUUUCAUUAUUUUCAUAUGAAAACCCAUGGUUAUAAUUAUUCAUAAGUAUACAUCUCUGUAAAGGGUGAGGAUUUUCAACUUGCAGCAUUUCUUUAUGUAUAUUUGUAAAUGGAACUCUUACACCUUUUUUUUUUACU
This is a long non-coding RNA of Pleuronectes platessa (European plaice), 1075 nucleotides long. RefSeq lists it as uncharacterized. The record is from RefSeq and is a predicted model, not a curated record. The transcript has 3 exons. NCBI's taxonomy places the organism in Eukaryota, Metazoa, Chordata, Actinopteri, Pleuronectiformes, Pleuronectidae.